RNAcentral lists this transfer RNA (61 nucleotides) under Dipodomys ordii (Ord's kangaroo rat). It matches the Rfam family "tRNA", at positions 6 to 65 of the family's 71-position model. From Rfam's summary of the family: Transfer RNA (tRNA) molecules are approximately 80 nucleotides in length. Lineage: Eukaryota; Metazoa; Chordata; Mammalia; Rodentia; Heteromyidae. The record is from Rfam by way of RNAcentral.
UGUAGCUCAGUGGUAGAGCACUUACCUAACAUGCAUCAGAAUCUGGGUUCAAUUCCCAGCA